This is a transfer RNA of Chlorobium ferrooxidans DSM 13031, 73 nucleotides long. It matches the Rfam family "tRNA". From Rfam's summary of the family: Transfer RNA (tRNA) molecules are approximately 80 nucleotides in length. The record is from Rfam. NCBI's taxonomy places the organism in Bacteria, Pseudomonadati, Chlorobiota, Chlorobiia, Chlorobiales, Chlorobiaceae.
CGGGGUGUGGCUCAGUUGGUAGAGUGCUGCGUUCGGGACGCAGAGGUCGUGGGUUCGAAUCCCGCCACCCCGA